ACUCCUACGGGAGGCAGCAGUGGGGAAUAUUGCACAAUGGGGGAAACCCUGAUGCAGCCAUGCCGCGUGUGUGAAGAAGGCCUUCGGGUUGUAAAGCACUUUCAGUAGGGAGGAAGGUAGUGUAGUUAACACCUGCACUAUUUGACGUUACCUACAGAAGAAGCACCGGCUAACUCCGUGCCAGCAGCCGCGGUAAUACGGAGGGUGCGAGCGUUAAUCGGAAUUACUGGGCGUAAAGCGCAUGCAGGCGGCCUGUUAAGUCAGAUGUGAAAGCCCGGGGCUUAACCUCGGAAUUGCAUUUGAAACUGGCAGGCUAGAGUCUUGUAGAGGGGGGUAGAAUUUCAGGUGUAGCGGUGAAAUGCGUAGAGAUCUGAAGGAAUACCAGUGGCGAAGGCGGCCCCCUGGACAAAGACUGACGCUCAGAUGCGAAAGCGUGGGGAGCAAACAGGAUUAGAUACCCUGGUAGAUAGCG
This 472-nucleotide ribosomal RNA is filed under the name uncultured bacterium. RNAcentral describes it as "bacterial SSU rRNA". It matches the Rfam family "Bacterial small subunit ribosomal RNA", at positions 335 to 799 of the family's 1533-position model. The record is from RNAcentral.